AGUGAACGCUGGCGGCAGGCCUAACACAUGCAAGUCGAGCGGCAGCGCGGGGGCAACCCUGGCGGCGAGCGGCGGACGGGUGAGGAAUUCGUCGGAAUCUGCCUUUUUGUGGGGGAUAACGUAGGGAAACUUACGCUAAUACCGCAUACGUCCUACGGGAGAAAGUGGGGGACCGCAAGGCCUCACGCAGAAAGAUGAGCCGACGACCGAUUAGCUAGUUGGUGGGGUAAAGGCCCACCAAGGCGACGAUCGGUAGCUGGUCUGAGAGGAUGAUCAGCCACACUGGGACUGAGACACGGCCCAGACUCCUACGGGAGGCAGCAGUGGGGAAUAUUGGACAAUGGGCGCAAGCCUGAUCCAGCCAUGCCACGUGUGUGAAGAAGGCCUUCGGGUUGUAAAGCACUUUUGUCCGGAAAGAAAUCCCUGGAGCUAAUACCUUCGGGGGAUGACGGUACCGGAAGAAUAAGCACCGGCUAACUUCGUG
RNAcentral lists this ribosomal RNA (484 nucleotides) under uncultured bacterium. RNAcentral's name for it is "partial 16S ribosomal RNA". It matches the Rfam family "Bacterial small subunit ribosomal RNA", at positions 29 to 507 of the family's 1533-position model. The record is from RNAcentral.